This 301-nucleotide ribosomal RNA is filed under the name uncultured bacterium. RNAcentral describes it as "partial 16S ribosomal RNA". It matches the Rfam family "Bacterial small subunit ribosomal RNA", at positions 509 to 807 of the family's 1533-position model. The record is from RNAcentral.
CAGCAGCCGCGGGAAUACAGAGGAUGCAAGCGUUAUCCGGAAUGAUUGGGCGUAAAGGGCUCGCAGGCGGUUUCUUAAGUCCGAUGUGAAAGCCCCCGGCCCAACCGGGGAGGGUCAUUGGAAACUGGGAAACUUGAGUGCAGAAGAGGAGAGUGGAAUUCCACGUGUAGCGGUGAAAUGCGUAGAGAUGUGGAGGAACACCAGUGGCGAAGGCGACUCUCUGGUCUGUAACUGACGCUGAGGAGCGAAAGCGUGGGGAGCGAACAGGAUUAGAUACCCCGGUAGUCCCUGUCUCUUAUAC